Peromyscus maniculatus bairdii (prairie deer mouse) is the source of this 1241-nucleotide long non-coding RNA. RefSeq lists it as uncharacterized. The record is from RefSeq and is a predicted model, not a curated record. Lineage: Eukaryota; Metazoa; Chordata; Mammalia; Rodentia; Cricetidae.
UGUGCUUUGUGAGUAGGUACUGCGUGUCCUUGACGCCCCCUCCCCCACCUUUAAACUACACGACUAAAUAAAUAAAUAAACAAACCGCCGCCGCUGAAAGCCUCAGCGCUCUGCUGGAGAGAGGAGAGUGGAGGCGAGGCAGCUCACCCACCCAUCAACCCACCUCGGAAAGCCUGUGAAUGAACACAAAGGACAGACUUCAAAUUCUCUAUCUGCUUUUCCCAUAGAAGAACCACCACCAAAGCAAAGUGAAUACAACUAAAACAACACUACGGAUUACAGAGGUAGGAAGUCUAAAUAAAUGAUUUUUACAAAAUAUAUUUUGGAGAAAGCAAAAUGAACAAACAUGAAGCAAUUUGUAAAACUUCCUAAGAUAGAAGAGACUUGAAUAUAAAGGACAAUAAAACUUCUGACUACUAUCAACACUAAAUUGCAGCGUAUGUAUGUGGGCAUCAAUGAUCUCAGCUACAAGACUACAUUACACAGCUUUCUCUGCUGCCAGGUGUGCUCACUGGGCCAUGUUCUGCCAACGAGAGACACUCACUCAGACUUGCUGGCUAGACUGCACAACGGCUCCUAGUCAGUGUCUCUCUCAACUAUCAUCAGAGAAGCUUUGUCUUGCAGAGGAUGGGAACUAAUACCAACACCUGGACAAAUGGACAAUGUGCCGAGUGAGAGACCUUGGAACACUCAGGGAACAACGUGUACGAGGAGGCAGAAGGAUUGUAAGAGCCAGAGGGGAUGGAAGACACCAAGGAAGCAGUGUCUUCCAGACACCACAGGACUGACACACACAUGCACAUAUGAACUCAAGACUGAGGCGGUACAUACAAGGGAUGCACAGACCCAAGAGAGACAGGGUCCCAGUGCUGAGAGGGCAAAGUAUGCACAGGCUCCCAUCCUAACCAAGAAGCUAUCUCCACCUGACAACCACUUGCAAAGGAACUAGUUUUCCCCAGUGAAAGCUCACUGGGCAUACAAAUCACACAUAAAUCAGGGCAGGCCCCAUGCUCAGCAAGCAGUACAUAACCAAUUUUGUAGUCUGUUAUUUGUCUCAGAUUGCUUUGUUUGGGAAUUUUUCUUUUUUAAUCUUACAGGUCUUUUGCUUGUAUAUUAUGGUUCCCAAUUAUGUGCUUUGUUUGUGUGAAUGUGUGUUUCUUAAGCUUUUUCUUUUCUCUUUUUUUUUUCUUUUAUUUAUUUUUUUUGCCAGUCUUCUAAAGAGGGCUUGGAGCUGGGUGGGU